Molecule: ribosomal RNA, 2051 nt
Filed under: Escherichia coli
Lineage: Bacteria; Pseudomonadati; Pseudomonadota; Gammaproteobacteria; Enterobacterales; Enterobacteriaceae
Description: partial 23S ribosomal RNA
Rfam family: Bacterial large subunit ribosomal RNA
Source: RNAcentral
CAUAGGUUAAUGAGGCGAACCGGGGGAACUGAAACAUCUAAGUACCCCGAGGAAAAGAAAUCAACCGAGAUUCCCCCAGUAGCGGCGAGCGAACGGGGAGCAGCCCAGAGCCUGAAUCAGUGUGUGUGUUAGUGGAAGCGUCUGGAAAGGCGCGCGAUACAGGGUGACAGCCCCGUACACAAAAAUGCACAUAUUGUGAGCUCGAUGAGUAGGGCGGGACACGUGGUAUCCUGUCUGAAUAUGGGGGGACCAUCCUCCAAGGCUAAAUACUCCUGACUGACCGAUAGUGAACCAGUACCGUGAGGGAAAGGCGAAAAGAACCCCGGCGAGGGGAGUGAAAAAGAACCUGAAACCGUGUACGUACAAGCAGUGGGAGCACGCUUAGGCGUGUGACUGCGUACCUUUUGUAUAAUGGGUCAGCGACUUAUAUUCUGUAGCAAGGUUAACCGAAUAGGGGAGCCGAAGGGAAACCGAGUCUUAACUGGGCGUUAAGUUGCAGGGUAUAGACCCGAAACCCGGUGAUCUAGCCAUGGGCAGGUUGAAGGUUGGGUAACACUAACUGGAGGACCGAACCGACUAAUGUUGAAAAAUUAGCGGAUGACUUGUGGCUGGGGGUGAAAGGCCAAUCAAACCGGGAGAUAGCUGGUUCUCCCCGAAAGCUAUUUAGGUAGCGCCUCGUGAAUUCAUCUCCGGGGGUAGAGCACUGUUUCGGCAAGGGGGUCAUCCCGACUUACCAACCCGAUGCAAACUGCGAAUACCGGAGAAUGUUAUCACGGGAGACACACGGCGGGUGCUAACGUCCGUCGUGAAGAGGGAAACAACCCAGACCGCCAGCUAAGGUCCCAAAGUCAUGGUUAAGUGGGAAACGAUGUGGGAAGGCCCAGACAGCCAGGAUGUUGGCUUAGAAGCAGCCAUCAUUUAAAGAAAGCGUAAUAGCUCACUGGUCGAGUCGGCCUGCGCGGAAGAUGUAACGGGGCUAAACCAUGCACCGAAGCUGCGGCAGCGACGCUUAUGCGUUGUUGGGUAGGGGAGCGUUCUGUAAGCCUGUGAAGGUGUGCUGUGAGGCAUGCUGGAGGUAUCAGAAGUGCGAAUGCUGACAUAAGUAACGAUAAAGCGGGUGAAAAGCCCGCUCGCCGGAAGACCAAGGGUUCCUGUCCAACGUUAAUCGGGGCAGGGUGAGUCGACCCCUAAGGCGAGGCCGAAAGGCGUAGUCGAUGGGAAACAGGUUAAUAUUCCUGUACUUGGUGUUACUGCGAAGGGGGGACGGAGAAGGCUAUGUUGGCCGGGCGACGGUUGUCCCGGUUUAAGCGUGUAGGCUGGUUUUCCAGGCAAAUCCGGAAAAUCAAGGCUGAGGCGUGAUGACGAGGCACUACGGUGCUGAAGCAACAAAUGCCCUGCUUCCAGGAAAAGCCUCUAAGCAUCAGGUAACAUCAAAUCGUACCCCAAACCGACACAGGUGGUCAGGUAGAGAAUACCAAGGCGCUUGAGAGAACUCGGGUGAAGGAACUAGGCAAAAUGGUGCCGUAACUUCGGGAGAAGGCACGCUGAUAUGUAGGUGAAGUCCCUUGCGGAUGGAGCUGAAAUCAGUCGAAGAUACCAGCUGGCUGCAACUGUUUAUUAAAAACACAGCACUGUGCAAACACGAAAGUGGACGUAUACGGUGUGACGCCUGCCCGGUGCCGGAAGGUUAAUUGAUGGGGUCAGCGCAAGCGAAGCUCUUGAUCGAAGCCCCGGUAAACGGCGGCCGUAACUAUAACGGUCCUAAGGUAGCGAAAUUCCUUGUCGGGUAAGUUCCGACCUGCACGAAUGGCGUAAUGAUGGCCAGGCUGUCUCCACCCGAGACUCAGUGAAAUUGAACUCGCUGUGAAGAUGCAGUGUACCCGCGGCAAGACGGAAAGACCCCGUGAACCUUUACUAUAGCUUGACACUGAACAUUGAGCCUUGAUGUGUAGGAUAGGUGGGAGGCUUUGAAGUGUGGACGCCAGUCUGCAUGGAGCCGACCUUGAAAUACCACCCUUUAAUGUUUGAUGUUCUAACGUUGACCCCUAAUC